This 4592-nucleotide long non-coding RNA is filed under the name Sus scrofa (pig). RNAcentral describes it as "lncRNA (ENSSSCG00005007008.1)". Lineage: Eukaryota; Metazoa; Chordata; Mammalia; Artiodactyla; Suidae. The record is from RNAcentral.
CUUUCCUUCUUUCUUUCUUUCUUUCUUUCUUUCUUUCUUUCUUUCUUUCUUUCUGUGCCCGUCGCAUGCAAAAGAUCCCAGGUCAGGGAUCAGACCUGCACUGCAGCAGUGACAACACCGGAUCCUUAGCUAUUAGGCCAGCAGGGAAUUCCUCAGAGGUGUGUCUUGAAUCCUGUAUCUUAUAAACCUUCUUGUCACCUUACCCUGACAGCAACAGUUCACCUCCCAAAAAAGGAAAUGCUUGAGAAACUCACUUACUAAAGGUCCAUCGAGCAACUUUUCUUACUAGGUGAUUGGAUAGUUUGAGCUCAGUGUUGAAAACACAAAUGGCUUAAUUAAUUUUUUUUUUUAGCUCCUGUUAUUCCACCGUGCUCUGUCAAAUCCUUCUGCUUGCCUCUUAAUGACAAUUCUGCUAGAUCCUAGAGACAGCUGGUCACUUUCCAUUAUAAAAAGUCCAGGCCAGCUUAAAACUCCAAUCUCAUAUCCAAUUAAAAUCUCAUCUCCUUCUGUCCUCCUUUCACAGGCUGGGCUGGGGCUCUAGGAUGCUCCAUGGGGACAGGACAUGAUCUGCCUCAGGGCUCUUCUACCCCCUCUCAGCUCUGAAAUCUGACUCUUCAGACAGAGGAGUGGGGACAGCGCGGAGGGAUCAGAUGAAAUAUCUGGGUGGUUUUUGCUUCUCAGAUGAACUCAGACAAGCUCCUUGCAUCCACUGUGGACAGUGGUCCACAAAUGGAUCAAACAAAUCCAUGGCCAUUCAAGGUGUCCACUCCCACUCGUUAGGGAUUAUCUUUGGUGCGGGGGACUCUUGGAACCUCGGCGUUCUCAGAUUCAGUGCCUCAUGACAGAUUACAAGGGAGAAGGAAAAAGGCCCGGUUCAUCUUCUCACUGUGGACAGAAUCCAAAUGUGGCUCUGGAGGCCUGACCGACUUUCCUGGCUGAUUUGCAAGGUCUACACAGUUCCUAGAGAUGGGAGAUCAGCCCCUUGUCCUGCUCCUACCUACCUCCCACUACCAGCAGCACCCUCUUCGGCCCCCACCCCAGCCCCAGUCCCAUACAUGCAUCCUCUUGAGAGCCCUGUCUUCUAGUGGAGAACUUUCAAGACGGCACCAGCCUACCCAUGGUCCACGCAGGAAUCUCAUCCAUCCUUGCCAUCCCCACGCUCUAAGGACCCUUGGCUUUGUGACCAGUUCUUUUCUCUGCUUUGCUCCACCAUCUUUCUCCUAUUCCCUUUCCCAGGUCAACCAGGCAGAGGAGGUGGCUGGCUGGCCUGACACCUAAGCAGAUGUCCAGCCAACGAGAGAGGUGUGAGUCUUCCUCUCUUGCUAGCACCCUUCUCUUCAAAGUCGAUCUUCCCUUGGUUUUAAGAAGAGAAGAGCACCCCUCCUGUCUCCAGGGGAGAAGCACCCCCAUCACAAUGCAUUCAUGGAGUGGCCCCGGUCACUCCAGGAAACCUGUCUGUCUUCUUCUCCUCUUCCUGGGACACAGCUGUUGGCUCUGGUACCAAGGCCAUUCAAGGUGUCCACUCCCACUUGUUGGAGGUCAUCUUUGGUGUGGGGGACUCUUGAAAGCUCGGCGUUCUCAGAUUCAGUGCCUCAUGACAGAAUACAAGGGAGAAGGAAAAAGGCCCGGUUCAUCUUCUCUCAUACCGCUACCCAAACAUCUCCUGAAACUCACCUCUUCCAAACCGCACGCCCCUCCAGACUAAUCAUCUCAUCCAACCAUUUAACAAGUAUUUCUUGAGUCCUUAUUCUGCCCUUGGAACUGUUGGAGACAUGAGGGAUGUGGCAGCAAACGGAAAGAUGGGGUUACCUCUCUCACUUUACGUUCUGUUGGAGGUGACAUCAUCUUAAACAGGUGUGUCAGCGAGAUGCUGUUAGAUGGUGCUAAGUGCUCUGAGAGAGUAACACGCAGGCAGAAUGAUUGCAAGAAAAGGGUGCCACUUAAGAUUGGUGGCCGGAGGUUUAUCUGAUAGGGGGAUCAUUGAAUGGGACCUAAAUAAUUCCCAAACAGAGCAAAUGCUAAGGCCCUGAAAUGAGCAUUUGUUUGCCAUGCUGAGGGAAUUUAAGAUAAACAAGUGGUGGUUUUCUCAGUCUCAUUUUAGAGUUAAACCUUCCAAGAUGCUUUUUGAUCUCUGCUUGCUCCAGGCUAGUACAUGAGAUAAAGAACUCCACCGUUUCUCCAACACCCUGUGUAUGGGAGGCCAUUACAGCUGUGUCUCACUCUUCUUCUUCUUCUUUUUUUUUUUACAGCUGCACCUGGGACAUAUGAAAGUUCCCAGGCUAGGGGUCAAAUGGAGCUGCAGCUGCAGGCCUACACCACAGUUGUGGCAACAGCAGAUCCUUAACCCACUGAGUGAGACCAGGGAUUGAACAUGCAUCCUCACUGACACUGUGUUGGGUUCUUAACCUGCUAAGCCACAAAAUGGGAACUCCCUAGACUUAGAGAUUUCAGACAUAAAUGAGCAUUUCCAUCUGUUUAUUUGGGUCAUGUGCCAGGGAGUAUCCUUAUUGUACCUCUGGCCCGACUGUCAUUCGUGAACAUCAGCUACCCGGAAAUGGAAAAAUAGAGCUACAAAUUUUCCUAUGCCCAAUACCUUUCUAUGCCUAACGGGGUUUAUGGAUGAAUUCACUUGCAUAUUAAAAUUUGUAUGUUAUAUCUUAAAGCAUUAUACAAAUAAAAAUAUGUUAUUGUGAGACUUACCUACUAGAACAAAAUAUGGAUAAUGAAUGAAAAAGAAAUAAGAGCCAAUAAAGCUCUAAGGUACCAUUUCUAUAGUUGGUUUAUUACUUUGAAAUAAAAGAAAUCUCAUUGGAAUUGCCCAUUUUAUUAAAAUCACCUUCAUAACAUUCAUGCCCCAAAUGGAAUAUUUCUUUUCAGCAUGGAAUUUCAGAGGUGAAAGAUACCUUUGUGAUUUUUAUUUGUUUGUGUAUUUGUUUUUGUUUUUUUUGGCUGCACUCAUGGCAUGUGGAAGUUCCUCGGCCAGGGAUCAAGCCUGUACCACAGCAGCAACCAGAGUCACUUCAGUUGCAAUGCUAGACCCUUAACCUGCUGUGCCGCAGGAGAACUCCAAUAUCUUUGUGAUUAUUGAUGAAAAUUCUCAGAUAUAAGAUAACAGAUAUUCAAAAAUGUUAAGCAGCAUUCCAAAUUCACAUAGCGAUUAUAAUUGCCACAGCUGACCUUGAAUUCAAACUUCUCCCAGCUCACCACUCUUGCUUCUCCAUUGCAGGACCUCUAAACUAUGUUACUUGGUAUACACUGUAUCAAACACUAGGGAUGACUGUGUUCUCAGCACAGUUAGAUGAUAGGUCUGGGGGAGGCACUGCCAUGGUAUGAGGGAUGCUCAGACAGUCUAUGGACAGGCCCACAUGGGGAGGAAGUGAGGUACUCAGCCAGCAUCCAGCAACAUGUGAAUGAGCUUGGAAAUACAGGCUCCAACAGCUUGACUGUAACCUCAGAGGAAACUUUGAGUCUGAACCAUCCAGCUGGUGGUUUUUUAUUUUUGGUAUUCCUGAUUGAUACCAGUAAUAAAAAAAAAUCUGUGGGAUAGUAAACAUGUAUUAUUUAGGCUGACAUCUGGAGAGGUCACUUUUUGUGAAGCCACAGGUAGCUGAUACAGGCACAGUGCUGAGGUACUCAGGGAUAAGGCCAUCUUUUUGUCCCUUCUCAUACAGGAAAGACAUGCACUUUCUCUGCUCAAGGACCUGUCUCAGCUCUGUCUCUGCCAACAGGGCUGGAGAGGGGAGAGGGUGGCCCUGCCAAAUGCCAACAGCGCCUCCUUAAGGACAAUUCAUGGCAGGCGUCAGCCUGUGCUCAACUUCCCAUUGGAAAACCUGGGACAAAUCAUUCCCAGAGAAGAGUGAAUACAAAGCGUGGCUUCAGGCAGACUUCCUUUAAAUGUGCACAGACUCUUCCUGCUAUUUUCAUGUAUUUGGAGAACUAGAAAUGUUCCAGAGGCUGAUCUUUCCCUGCCCUGGACUUGGCAGAAAAGAUUUUUGAUGUCAGGGAACUCAAAUUUUAUAUUUUGUCAGUGAACUCAAAUUUUAUUAUUUUCUUAACCAGUUCAGGCACGUGGACACUUUUUGAAAAACUGCAUUUAGGGCAUGGGAUAUACUUAUGCUGUGUGCCUGUUGUCUUAAAGGCACUACCUGGUACCUGAGUGAUCCCACCCUUAUUCCUCUGCUUGGACUGUGUCAAGAGAUCAGUUUGAGUGCACUUAAUUUACAAAGCUUUUCUAAAGAGAUGCUAUCUAGUUAGCAUUUCUUAACCGUUUCCUUCUCACCAUCAGUCUCCAUGCAUGAGGAGACCUGAGCUUGGUUCACCAUCCCCCUUGCCUUUGGGGAGUCUUUCCUGGCUCCCCACAUUAACUCUGGGGAUUGAAGGACAUUUGAGACUUUGAACAGUGGGGGUUUAGUAAACGUCACCAAGUAGUGCCAGUGCCUGAGAGGCUGGCAUCAUAAGGAAGAAGUUGAAUGUUGGUAAUAAUGGCAACUCCACUUGGCUAUGAACUUUCUUUGGGGUGACUUCCUAUAUCGUGUGGUAUCUUUUCAACUUUCCUAUGAAGGAAUGGGGGUGGGGAGGGAGGAAGGUAGGGA